RNAcentral lists this long non-coding RNA (1526 nucleotides) under Nicotiana benthamiana. RNAcentral describes it as "long non-coding RNA (NBEN_LNC011319)". Lineage: Eukaryota; Viridiplantae; Streptophyta; Magnoliopsida; Solanales; Solanaceae. The record is from RNAcentral.
UAAAUUCGUCUUCUUCCUCGCGUCUUUUCUGAAAUUAACUCAAAUGUUGCUCAAACUACUCUAAAUCACUUCAAAUUUAAACUUUGAACUCCUUUUGAUAUUUUCAAUCAAUCAGAACAACAUUCCAUCCAAAUAAUUAACAAACUAAAAAAAAUUUAUUUUCGAAAGCAAAGCUUUGGAUAACCUUCAAUGAUGGACUUCUACUCUUCAAAUUUUGUUUAAAUUGCAACCAGGUGACAUAAGGGGGGAAGUCUGGAUAACUUUCAAUGAUGGACUUCUACUCUUCAAAUUUUGUUUAAAUUGCUACCAGGUGACAUAAGGGGGGAAGUAAUAAUGGCGGGCGACUCCUCUCACAUAUGUAAAAGAUGUGAGAAGGAGAGAGAGUGAAAGCAAUAUUUGUGAGAACACAGAUUUAACUUCAUAUAGCUUUUAGAAGCAAUGUCUGUAAGAACACAGAUUUUGAAUUUGCAAGAGCUAGUAUUUUCAGAAUAUGUACAAAUAUGGGCUAGGCCGGGUAAUACUGGGGAUUUGCAUCUAUACCCGCUUUUUGUAUCAUGUUUUAACUUGUGCCCGCUUUACAAAAAAAUAAUUAUAAGUGUACCCACUUUUUCGUAUAACUUCAGCAUACGGGGCUAAAUUAGCAAAUGCAGCCACGCAAAACUUUAACAUUCUAGUAGACUUGCCUGAAGCAGCAAGUGUGCUGCAGUUUUUGUUUUUGUAACUUGCUAACUUCAGCUCUAGAGCUAAAGUUUUUAUUCUUGUAACUGGCGAACUUCAGCUCUAGAGCUGACGUAUUUGAAUUGUUACUGUUGAACUUCAGCUCUAGAGCUGACAUUUUUAUUUUGUAACUGUCGAACUUUAGCUACUUCAGCUUUAGAGCAGAAAUUUUUCUUUUAUAACUGUCGAAUUUCAGCUCUAGAGCUGAAGUUUUUAUUUUGAACUGUCGAAGUUUAUGUUUAUAACUGGCGAAGUUUUUUAAACCCUUUUAAGUAUGUACUGCUGCACUCUCUACAUCUACUGUGACGAUAACAAGCAGAAAGAAGUUUGCUCGUUUCUUUCCCUCGUUUUCCAUAACUUAAACUAAUAGUCAAAAACCUUGUUGAGUUUGUUGGAAUCGACUAAAUAAAGUCAUAUAUAAAUAUCGUAUGACAAACUUUUGGCCACCAAAAAAUGGAAGUUUGCGUGAAGUAAUUUAGAUUAGCCACUGUAAUAAUAAUCAAUCCUUUAUAUGUAUUAGUGCUUGUUUUAUUCAUACGUAUAAAAGAUUUGUUGCAGCUGAUGAAAUCAACAAAGUAAUAUGGAGGAAAAGAAAUACGUAGUUGAGGUUGAGAAAGCUAAAGAAGGAAGAGAUGGUUAUAUCAAUGUUAAGUUUCUGAAAGAUAUGAAGUUUACUAGGAGAAUGAGAGUGAAGUUGUUUAAAAAGUAGGAUAUAAGUUAAAUGUGUUUUAUAAAAUGGGUAUAGGUUAAAUGUGGUCGACCAAAUAGGGCGUGCUUGUGCAAUGUUUGAUAAAAUUUUAAGACAUGGG